UAACACAUGCAAGUCGAGGGGUAGCAGGGUAGCAAUACCGCUGACGACCGGCGCACGGGUGAGUAACACGUAUCCAACCUUCCCAUAACUCGGGGAUAGCCUUUCGAAAGAAAGAUUAAUACCCGAUAGUACUUUAUUAAGGCAUCUUAAGAAAGUUAAAGAUUUAUUGGUUAUGGAUGGGGAUGCGUUCCAUUAGAUAGUUGGUGAGGUAACGGCUCACCAAGUCUUCGAUGGAUAGGGGUUCUGAGAGGAAGGUCCCCCACAUUGGUACUGAGACACGGACCAAACUCCUACGGGAGGCAGCAGUGAGGAAUAUUGGUCAAUGGGCGAGAGCCUGAACCAGCCA
RNAcentral lists this ribosomal RNA (346 nucleotides) under uncultured Bacteroidales bacterium. RNAcentral's name for it is "bacterial SSU rRNA". It matches the Rfam family "Bacterial small subunit ribosomal RNA", at positions 49 to 394 of the family's 1533-position model. Lineage: Bacteria; Pseudomonadati; Bacteroidota; Bacteroidia; Bacteroidales. The record is from RNAcentral.